Non-coding RNA from Phthorimaea operculella (potato tuberworm), 72 nucleotides. NCBI's taxonomy places the organism in Eukaryota, Metazoa, Arthropoda, Insecta, Lepidoptera, Gelechiidae. The record is from the annotation of a GenBank genome assembly.
GUGCCCGUGGCUCAGUUGGUAGAGCGAUGGGACGGUAUCCCAUGGUUCCGAGUUCAAAUCCCGGCGAACCCU